Alligator sinensis (Chinese alligator) is the source of this 1616-nucleotide long non-coding RNA. RefSeq lists it as uncharacterized. Lineage: Eukaryota; Metazoa; Chordata; Crocodylia; Alligatoridae. The record is from RefSeq and is a predicted model, not a curated record. The transcript has 3 exons.
AACAUUGCUUGGCUGCAAGGCUGUAUGCAACAUCCUGGAGGGGUCAUGCAAGUGGUGAAUGACCUAAAUUUCUGCUGAUUUGAGAUGGAUUAACAUUCUGAUUUGUCUCGGUGGGGAGGAGAGAAAGAAACAGUCUACAUAGCACAAACUGGAGAAUCCAGAAUUAUUACAUUAGGGCUAUGUUGCAUGGACCUCAUAAUACACGUUAAGUGCACUUAAAACCUGAGCGGCUGCAUGUUCAAGCAGUAAAACACAUGCUAAAGGCACUCGUAUCUUAGCAGACUUGCAGCUUUUUGCACAAGGAGUAUCUCCAGAUGGUAUUAAGUAACACUUGUUCAGCUACCAUCAGCCUGCUCCAUGGAGAUAAUAAGAGCAAUGUACAAUCUGCUGGCAUUGCAGGAUGCACCACUCCCAGCUCCAAACCCCACCCUCCCCCAGCUCUAAGGGUUGGUCUGUUGAUCCACCUGAACUCUACUGCUCAUGGGGGUGGUACCCCAGCCCAUAUGAUAGCACCCUGAACCCCCAUUGAAAGUUUCAAGGUUUGCUGAGGUCUCCACUGUUGCUUGAAUGUUUCAGUAUGAACAUUAAACACCUCGGUUCAUGAGCUGAACCAAAUCAGAGGAUGUCCUCCUUGGACCACUGCAGGAGGGCCAUGAACUGGACUUGUGAUGAGGUACUAGACUUCAUCAUGAUCUGGGGUGAGGAGAGAGCCAUUUAUUACCCUCUAAGAAUGGGAAGGGCAGCUGACAACCAGGAGGUCUAUGAGUAUAUUGUAACCCAGAUGGUGGCUUGGCACAUGAUCUGUUGCUAGUCUCACUCUGCGCUAAAGUGGAGUGUGUGAAGUCAUAAUACAUUUGGGGCAGGGACACCUACAUCUUGGGUGCCAUGAGGACUCUGGUCUCCUACUCUGAGGAGCUAUCAAGAAUCCUUCAGACAGGCCACACUGUCACUCCUUGUCACACUAUUCACUGCAUAUCUGCAGGCCCACUGUGGUGUAGCAGUGGUGAUGCAAAUGAUUGAAUCCUCUUCACUGCCUUCUACUGAACCAGCUUUGAAGGGGCAGAAGGAUGCCUGAUCAGUGAGUUUGUUGCCUAGCCAGAUCCUGACCCAGACCCAGGAUGCACAAGAUGGGGACCACUCAGAUGAGUCUCAUUGAAUGAGUGGACACAGAUGAACAAACACCAGCUGAUGGUAAAUUUCAGCGACUCUGGGAGGAAAAGAUUACAGGAUCUACAAGGUCUACUCUGCUGUCAGACAACGGUGUGUUGUACACCUGCAGAGCAUGUUUGGAAAUCCAGAACCAACGCAUGUUAUCUACUAACAGCAGAAGUGACUUUGAGUGUGCUUCUAAAAUGUUCACUCCUCAGUGUUAGCUCUGGCCGACAAGAACUCAGGAGGUUCCAGCACCAAUGCUGUCCCAAGGACAUGAAGAGAUGCUUCUGCUCAGAGGUUGUCCCAUAGCUGAAAAUGUUAGUGGGACCAGCAAGGUCAGAUGCUGAAGAGCUUUGUGGAGUUCUUCACAUGCUGAGCCAAUGCAAUGGACAGCUGGUUUUCUGCUAAGAGGCAGACCUGUAGAUAAGGGACUUGGGCUGAACCAAAAGCCACCCUACAGUAUA